UCAGUUGGUAGAGCAGCUGACUCUUAAUCAGCGGGUCCGGGGUUCGAAACCCUGACGGCGCACUCACAGCAGA
This 73-nucleotide transfer RNA is filed under the name Mycobacterium terramassiliense. RNAcentral describes it as "Mycobacterium sp. AB308 partial tRNA-Lys". The stretch from base 1 to 62 matches the Rfam family "tRNA", at positions 12 to 71 of the family's 71-position model. Rfam says of the family: Transfer RNA (tRNA) molecules are approximately 80 nucleotides in length. Their secondary structure includes four short double-helical elements and three loops (D, anti-codon, and T loops). Lineage: Bacteria; Bacillati; Actinomycetota; Actinomycetes; Mycobacteriales; Mycobacteriaceae. The record is from RNAcentral.